This is a long non-coding RNA of Daphnia magna, 277 nucleotides long. RefSeq lists it as uncharacterized. Lineage: Eukaryota; Metazoa; Arthropoda; Branchiopoda; Diplostraca; Daphniidae. The record is from RefSeq and is a predicted model, not a curated record. The transcript has 3 exons.
UAAAACUUAAAAUAUCUUAUCAAUAGAUGGCUACACUGUUUAGUGGAUCGUCUGCAGUAGAAAUUCAUGGUUGAUCAGAUGUGGCCUAGUUGUUAGCAGAGUCAUAGAACAUUGAAUGUUACAGUGUAGUUCCUAUACUCAGCCCUACAGUGCGCAAAAAUAGGAAGUGGAAAAAAUUCUGCUCAUUGCGCUGAUAUGCACAAUGCCAGAUUCAUGUAAGCAAUCUUGAACAGAUUGUAAAAAGAUGUGUAAGAUGGCGAUGUAGGAUAAGGUACGC